AAUUCGAUUGAGUUUGAUCAUGGCUCAGGAUGAACGCUGGCGGUAUGCUUAACACAUGCAAGUCGAACGAAGCCUUUCGGGGCUUAGUGGCGGACGGGUGAGUAACGCGUGAGAAUCUGCCAUCAGGUCUGGGACAACCACUGGAAACGGUGGCUAAUACUGGAUGUGCCCUUCGGGGUGAAAGGUUAACUGCCUGUUGAUGAGCUCGCGUCUGAUUAGCUAGUAGGUGUGGUAAAGGCGCACCUAGGCGACGAUCAGUAGCUGGUCUGAGAGGACGAUCAGCCACACUGGGACUGAGACACGGCCCAGACUCCUACGGGAGGCAGCAGUGGGGAAUUUUCCGCAAUGGGCGAAAGCCUGACGGAGCAAUACCGCGUGAGGGAGGAAGGCUCUUGGGUCGUAAACCUCUUUUCUCAGGGAAGAACACAAUGACGGUACCUGAGGAAUAAGCAUCGGCUAACUCCGUGCCAGCAGCCGCGGUAAUACGGAGGAUGCAAGCGUUAUCCGGAAUGAUUGGGCGUAAAGCGUCCGCAGGUGGCGGUGUAAGUCUGCUGUUAAAGAGUCUAGCUCAACUAGAUAAGAGCAGUGGAAACUACAUAGCUAGAGUACGUUCGGGGCAGAGGGAAUUCCUGGUGUAGCGGUGAAAUGCGUAGAGAUCAGGAAGAACACCAGUGGCGAAGGCGCUCUGCUAGGCCGUAACUGACACUGAGGG
RNAcentral lists this ribosomal RNA (712 nucleotides) under uncultured bacterium. Its description in RNAcentral is "bacterial SSU rRNA". It matches the Rfam family "Bacterial small subunit ribosomal RNA", at positions 1 to 752 of the family's 1533-position model. The record is from RNAcentral.